UGUUGAGCUUGACUCUAGUCUGACUUUGUGAAAUGACUUGUGAGGUGUAGGAUAAGUGGGAGCCGAAAGGCGAAAGUGAAAUACCACUUUUAAUAUUAUUGCACUUAUUCCGUGAAUCGGAAGCGGGGCACUGUCCCUCUUUCUAGACCCAAGGCCCAUCUCGACGGGCCGAUCCGGCCGGAAGACAUUGUCAAGUGGAGAGUUUGGCUGAGGCAACACAUUUGUUAAAAUCUAACGCAUGUGUCCCAAGAUCAGCUCAACGAAAACAAAAAUCUCGUGUGAAACAGUAGGGUAAGAGCUCGUAUGUUUCGGAUUUCCACUACAAAUACGAACCGUGAAAAGCGUGGCCUAACGAUUCUUUAGACCCUUGGAAAACUUACCACA
RNAcentral lists this non-coding RNA (384 nucleotides) under Erythranthe guttata (spotted monkey flower). Its description in RNAcentral is "Mimulus guttatus (spotted monkey flower) Eukaryotic large subunit ribosomal RNA". It matches the Rfam family "Eukaryotic large subunit ribosomal RNA", at positions 2414 to 2798 of the family's 3401-position model. The record is from Rfam by way of RNAcentral. Lineage: Eukaryota; Viridiplantae; Streptophyta; Magnoliopsida; Lamiales; Phrymaceae.